CAGCAGCCACGGUAAUACGAAGGGGGCUAGCGUUGCUCGGAAUUACUGGGCGUAAAGGGCGCGUAGGCGGACAGUUCAGUCGGGGGUGAAAGCCCGGGGCUCAACCUCGGAAUUGCCUUCGAUACUGGCUGUCUUGAGUAUGAGAGAGGUGUGUGGAACUCCGAGUGUAGAGGUGAAAUUCGUAGAUAUUCGGAAGAACACCAGUGGCGAAGGCGACACACUGGCUCAUUACUGACGCUGAGGCGCGAAAGCGUGGGGAGCGAACAGGAUUAGAUACCCCUGUAGUCCCUGUCUCUUAUAC
Molecule: ribosomal RNA, 301 nt
Filed under: uncultured bacterium
Lineage: Bacteria
Description: partial 16S ribosomal RNA
Rfam family: Bacterial small subunit ribosomal RNA
Source: RNAcentral